GCAUUUUCUAUCAUUUCAUUUAUUUUUUAGACAACGGUUGAUCCGAGUUUCAUGAAAUAAUUUUUAGUGUUUAUUCGCUAUUCCUAAAGUAAUAUUAAUGAGGAUCCUGUUGUCUUAUUGAGCUAAUCUUUUUAUUAGGAUUAAAAUUGAAUAUAAUGAUUUAAAAUGUCACAUUUUAAUGUGAAUCCAUUCGCUUAAACACAUUGUUACUGAUAGAUCCCGACUCAAUUUAAUCCAUAUUAGCUCAUUGAGCGAAAAAUGGACUUUUCUAGUGUGUCAAACUUGACAUUUAAAAUAUGUUUUAAUAUUUUUUAAAUUAUUAAGCAUAAACGGUGGAUACCUCGACUCCUAAAUCGAUGAAGACCGUAGCAAACUGCGAUAAUUCACUUGAAUUGCAGCCUACUGGGAUAGUUGAAACGUUGAACGCACAUGAUGACAUUGGUCCUUUCGGAUUAAGUGUUAUACCUGGGUGAGAGUGACUUUUUAAAACACAUCAUAACAAAAGAUUGACUAACGCUUGCGUUGGCUAAUCUUAAGAAGACUGAUUUGUAUAGUAAAUAAUAUCAAUAGUAUUCCUUACGGUUUACUGGAGGUAGAGUGAGCUAUACAUUUUUGCAGUACUCUGCAGUAAUCAUCACAGUUUUCUUUUAAAUACUUCAUUUUUUUACUUUAUGUAUGAUUAUAUUCAUUUUUAUGUAAUUAAUCAUGCGCAAGGGGUAGAUUAGUGAGUUUUUUUUUAGACACUUCUAUCAUUGAUUUAUCAACUAGUUGCGUUUAAAUCUAACAGACCUUUUCUAUCUGAUUAUAAUUGCAGAGACUGAGUCUUUUUCAUAUAAAAAGCAUUAAAUUUUUGUAUUUUAAUUGAUAUUUCGACUGUUUAGUUGGUUCAAUCAGCAUAGGGUGCUACCCUUAAUUAGACUAAUUUGAACCCAUAACUUUACAUGU
Molecule: unclassified non-coding RNA, 945 nt
Filed under: Dictyostelium giganteum
Lineage: Eukaryota; Evosea; Eumycetozoa; Dictyosteliales; Dictyosteliaceae
Description: partial contains 18S rRNA, ITS1, 5.8S rRNA, ITS2 and 26S rRNA
Rfam family: 5.8S ribosomal RNA (bases 322-479)
Source: RNAcentral